This 429-nucleotide ribosomal RNA is filed under the name Pseudomonadota bacterium. Its description in RNAcentral is "Proteobacteria bacterium partial 16S ribosomal RNA". It matches the Rfam family "Bacterial small subunit ribosomal RNA", at positions 355 to 776 of the family's 1533-position model. The record is from RNAcentral. Lineage: Bacteria; Pseudomonadati; Pseudomonadota.
UGGGGAAUAUUGGACAAUGGGCGAAAGCCUGAUCCAGCCAUGCCGCGUGUGUGAAGAAGGUCUUCGGAUUGUAAAGCACUUUAAGUUGGGAGGAAGGGCAGUAAGCGAAUACCUUGCUGUUUUGACGUUACCGACAGAAUAAGCACCGGCUAACUCUGUGCCAGCAGCCGCGGUAAUACAGAGGGUGCAAGCGUUAAUCGGAAUUACUGGGCGUAAAGCGCGCGUAGGUGGUUCGUUAAGUUGAAUGUGAAAGCCCCGGGCUCAACCUGGGAACUGCAUCCAAAACUGGCGAGCUAGAGUAGGGCAGAGGGUGGUGGAAUUUCCUGUGUAGAGGUGAAAUGCGUAGAUAUAGGAAGGAACACCAGUGGCGAAGGCGACCACCUGGGCUCAUACUGACACUGAGGUGCGAAAGCGUGGGGAGCAAACAGG